GGAGGGAACACUGGGGACUUAGUGUUUAUUGGGUACAGAGUUUCAGUUUUGCAAAAUGAAAAAGUUCUGAAGAUGGAUGGUGCUGAUGGCUGCAUAACAAUAUGAAUGUAUUAACACUACUCAAUUGUAAAAUAAGGUUCAAAUGAUACAUUUUAUUUCAUGUAUGUGUCAAUCUCAAUAAACAGAUUUGUUCAGGCAAGAACAUUGAUUAGAUGGGAAUAAUACUAUUAGAGCAUCAUCAAUUGAAUAUUAACAAAGUGCUCAUAGUUUAACUUUCUCCUUUCUAGCUCAGUGAAGAAUGGACCAUUUUAAAACUAUGACAGAACGUUAUUUAUAUAGCUGAUGUGUUUGGGAAUUGGAAGAAGGCAGAUUCCUUCACCAGCUGUAGCUCCCCUUCAGCAAUCUCAUAUACUCUCCAAGUUUCUCUUUCCUGGGUCACCUGUUUAAUCACUCCCAGGACUUAAUCUUCCACCUAUAUGUUGACCACUCACAAAUCUAUGUCUCCAUCUCACAAGCUUAUUCUUGACUCCAGACCCAAGUAUUCAACUGCCUGCUGAAUAUGUGUGGUCAGAUGUCAUAGGAACUUCAGCUUCAGUAUAUCAAAUACAAACCCCUGUUCUCCCCGACUGCCUCCUACUCCCCACUGGCUUUUCUCUGGCAUUCCCUUCUCAGUUAUCAGCACCUGGUGGUCAAGGUGCUCAAGCCCCAAACUCCAUCUAGCUAACUUCUGCCUCUUCCUCACCACCUUCUUCCAGUAACUCAUCCAGCACUGCUGUGUCUCCUUCCUUCCUAUCCCUCCAGUCCCUCCCCUUCUCUCCAUCAUGGCUGUCACUGCAUGGUUCAGGCUCUCUGCCUCUCCCGAAACCACUCCCACGUUGCUGCGAGGUGAACUGACUACCCUUGGCAGCCACUGGAUUAAAAUCUUUCGUCACCUUCUGCAUGAUAAAACCCACACCCUUUAGCAUGUAACAAGGUCUUAAUGAUUCUGCCAGACUUUGCUUGGGGGUGGCCUGCACUUGCGGGCCACUCCAGUCACUUCACAGGCGCUCAGUAAAUCUCAGUUGAAUCAGUCAUCAUCAUCAUCAUCAUCAUCAUCAUCAUCAUCAAUUUUUCAGUCCGGUUCCUGUCUCCUUUUCCGCAUCCUCCAUUCAUAGCCUUCACUCUAGCCAUGCUUCACUUGUGGUUUUCCUGGGCAAGAUAAGCUAUUCCUCCCUGUCUUUGCAGAGUUUAAAUGACUCACUUGUUCAAGGACCCACCAUUGUCAUGUGGACCCGGAGCAAAGUACUUAAUCUCACUAAGCUUCACGUUCCUCAUCUGUAAAACGGCAAACAAGAACCUCACAAAAUUGUAGUGAGGCUACAAUGAAAUAACAUACGCAAAAGCAGUUUAUAAAUCAUAAACUUACUCUAAAAUGUUAUUUUGUAAUUCUGCAAGCUUGUCUUAAAUGCCAUCACCUCCAAGGAGCCUUUUUGCCUUCGUAAGCAGAAGCCAUCUCUCUCGUCUUGGAAGCCCCACCAUGCACAGCCUGCGGGCCCUCAUCACACUCCUUGAGUUAUUUGAGUUCAAGUCCCGUGUUUACAACCAGACCACAAACUCCAUGAAGUCAGCAUCCAUUCCUGUCUGCGGUUCUCUCUCCACCCCUAUCCAGGUCUCAAGGGUCUGGAGUCUUUCAAAGAGAACACAUUCUGAGAUUCGAGGAGGCAGAGACAAAAAGGUCCAUAGCAAGGUGCCAGGGAGGCUUCUGUUUGGGGUGUCCCUUCGGAUCACAGAUCCCUCACCUGGUGAUGAGUCAACCCAGCACCACCCCACUGCAGGGCUGGAAUGACAGUAACGGGCCCACCUGCUGCCUCUGCUCGUGCCGGCACCCCAGUCAGACAUUGGAAGUUGAUCACGGCUCUGUCCUGCUGAGCCUGGAGUGUUCCAGUGCCUUUCCUGUCAGAGCUCCAGGCAACCACUACUAGCUGAUCAAUUUUAGCCCAAGAGAUAAACAUCAUUACCCUCCAGUAAGCUCAGAGACAACCCAAUAGCUGUCCUGAAGUCAUUACAGAGCAAGAUAAAAGACUAAAAGAGGGAGGAAUCAUUUCAGAUCUGCCAAGUGAGUUGAUUGGACUUAAAGGGCCAGUCAAACCCUGGCUGCCGGCUCAUGGCAGGUUCUUGCUGAGGACAAAUGCCCAGCCUAUAUUUAUGCAAAGAGAUUUUGUUCCAAACUUAAGGUCAAAGAUAUCUAAAGACAUCCCCCUCAGGAACCCCUCUCAUGGAGGAGGGUGCCUGAGGGUCUUGGUUUCCCACUGCAUCCCCCACCUCAAUUUCCCUGGUGCCCAGCCACUUGUGUCUUCAGGGUUCUCUUUCUCUCACUAAAAACGAGCCAACGCAGUGUCCGGGCUCCUCUCCCCAACAAAGGGCUUAUGCGUAAUUAAAAAGGAUUAUGCUUUGAAGGGGAAAAGUAGCCUUUAAUCACCAGAAGGGCACAGUGGCUGGAGCUGGAGGCGCUCUUAGCGGCGUUUAUGUCCUUUGCUGUCUGGGGGACCUCAACUCUGACCAAUCUGGUCUUCGUGUGGUCAUUAGCAUGGGCUUCGUGAGACAGAUACAGCUUUUGCUCUGGAAGAACUGGACCCUGCGGAAAAGGCAAAAGAUUCGCUUUGUGGUGGAACUCAUCUGGCCUUUAUCUUUAUUUCUGGUCUUGAUCUGGUUAAGGAACGCCAACCCGCUCUAUAGCCAACAUGAAUGCCAUUUUCCUAACAAGGCGAUGCCCUCAGCAGGAAUGCUGCCGUGGCUCCAGGGGAUCUUCUGCAAUGUGAACAAUCCCUGCUUUCAAAGCCCCACCCCAGGAGAAUCUCCUGGAAUUGUGUCAAACUACAACAACUCCAUCUUAGCAAGGGUGUAUCGAGAUUUUCAAGAACUCCUCAUGAAUGCACCAGAGAGCCAGCACCUUGGCCAUAUUUGGACAGAGCUCCGCAUCUUGUCCCAAUUCAUGGACACCCUCCGGACUCACCCGGAGAGAAUUGCAGGAAGAGGAAUACGGAUAAGGGAUAUCUUGAAAGACGAAGAAACACUGACAUUAUUUCUCAUUAAAAACAUUGGCUUGUCUGACUCAGUGGUCCACCUUCUGAUCAACUCUCAAGUCCGUCCGGAGCAGUUUGCUCAUGGAGUACCGGAGCUGGCGCUGAAGGACAUCGCCUGCAGCGAGGCCCUCCUGGAGCGCUUCAUCAUCUUUAGCCAGCGACGCGGGGCACAGACUGUGCGCUAUGCCCUGUGCUCCCUUUCCCAGCGCACCCUACAGUGGAUAGAGGACACUCUGUAUGCCAACGUGGACUUCUUCAAGCUCUUCCGUGUGCUUCCCACACUCCUAGACAGCCAUUCUCAAGGUAUCAAUCUGAGAUCUUGGGGAGGAAUAUUAUCUGAUAUGUCACCAAGAAUUCAAGAGUUUAUCCGUCGGCCGAGUAUGCAGGACUUGCUGUGGGUGACCAGGCCCCUCAUGCAGAAUGGUGGUCCAGAGACCUUUACAAAGCUGAUGGGCAUCCUGUCUGACCUCCUGUGUGGCUACCCCGAGGGAGGUGGCUCUCGGGUGCUCUCCUUCAACUGGUAUGAAGACAAUAACUAUAAGGCCUUUCUAGGGAUUGACUCCACAAGGAAGGAUCCUAUCUAUUCUUAUGACAGAAGAACAACAUCCUUUUGUAAUGCAUUGAUCCAGAGCCUGGAGUCAAAUCCUUUAACCAAAAUCGCUUGGAGGGCGGCAAAGCCUUUGCUGAUGGGAAAAAUCCUGUACACUCCUGAUUCACCUGCAGCACGAAGGAUACUGAAGAAUGCCAACUCAACUUUUGAAGAACUGGAGCGCGUUAGGAAGUUGGUCAAAGCUUGGGAAGAAGUAGGGCCCCAGAUCUGGUACUUCUUUGACAAUAGCACACAGAUGAACAUGAUCAGAGAUAUCCUGGGGAAUCCAACAGUAAAAGACUUUUUGAAUAGGCAGCUUGGUGAAGAAGGUAUUACUGCUCAAGCCAUCCUAAACUUCCUCUACAAGGGCCCUCGGGAGAGCCAGGCUGACGACAUGGCCAACUUGAACUGGAGAGACAUAUUUAACAUCACUGAUCGCACCCUCCGCCUGGUCAAUAAAUACCUGGAGUGCUUGGUCCUGGAUAAGUUUGAAAGCUACAAUGAUGAAACUCAGCUCACCCAACGUGCCCUGUCUCUACUGGAGGAAAACAGGUUCUGGGCCGGAGUGGUGUUCCCUGACAUGUAUCCCUGGACCAGCUCUCUACCACCCCACGUGAAGUAUAAGAUCCGAAUGGACAUAGACGUGGUGGAGAAAACCAAUAAGAUUAAAGACAGGUACUGGGAUUCUGGUCCCAGAGCUGAUCCUGUGGAAGAUUUCCGGUACAUCUGGGGUGGGUUUGCCUAUCUGCAGGACAUGGUUGAACAGGGGAUCACAAGGAGCCAGGUGCAGGCGGAGGCUCCAGUUGGAAUCUACCUCCAGCAGAUGCCCUACCCCUGCUUCGUGGACGAUUCUUUCAUGAUCAUCCUGAACCGCUGUUUCCCUAUCUUCAUGGUGCUGGCAUGGAUCUAUUCUGUCUCUAUGACUGUGAAGAGCAUCGUCUUGGAGAAGGAAUUGAGACUGAAGGAGACCUUGAAAAAUCAGGGUGUCUCCAAUGCAGUGAUUUGGUGUACCUGGUUCCUGGACAGCUUCUCCAUCAUGUCAAUGAGCAUCUUCCUCCUGACGAUAUUCAUCAUGCAUGGAAGAAUCCUACAUUACAGCGACCCAUUCAUCCUCUUCCUGUUCUUGUUGGCUUUCUCCACUGCCACCAUCAUGCUAUGCUUCCUGCUCAGCACCUUCUUCUCCAAGGCCAGUGUGGCAGCAGCCUGUAGUGGCGUCAUCUAUUUCACCCUCUACCUGCCACACAUCCUGUGCUUCGCCUGGCAGGACCGCAUGACCGCUGAGCUGAAGAAGGCUGUGAGCCUGCUGUCUCCGGUGGCAUUUGGAUUUGGCACUGAGUACCUGGUUCGCUUUGAAGAGCAAGGCCUGGGGCUGCAGUGGAGCAACAUCGGGAACAGUCCCACGGAAGGGGACGAAUUCAGCUUCCUGAUGUCCAUGCAGAUGAUGCUCCUUGAUGCUGCUGUCUACGGCUUACUCGCUUGGUACCUUGACCAGGUGUUUCCAGGAGACUAUGGAACCCCGCUUCCUUGGUACUUUCUUCUGCAAGAGUCGUAUUGGCUUGGCGGUGAAGGGUGUUCAACCAGAGAAGAAAGAGCCCUGGAAAAGACCGAGCCCCUAACAGAGGAAACGGAGGAUCCGGAACACCCAGAAGGAAUACACGACUCCUUCUUUGAACGUGAGCAUCCAGGGUGGGUUCCUGGGGUAUGUGUGAAGAAUCUGGUGAAGAUUUUUGAGCCCUAUGGCCGGCCAGCUGUGGACCGUCUGAACAUCACCUUCUACGAGAACCAGAUCACCGCAUUCCUCGGCCACAAUGGAGCAGGCAAAACCACCACCUUGUCCAUCCUGACGGGUCUGUUGCCACCAACCUCUGGGACUGUGCUCGUUGGGGGAAGGGACAUUGAAACCAGCCUGGAUGCAAUCCGGCAGAGCCUUGGCAUGUGUCCACAGCACAACAUCCUGUUCCACCACCUCACGGUGGCUGAGCACAUACUGUUCUAUGCCCAGCUGAAAGGAAAGUCCUGGGAGGAGGCCCAGCUGGAGAUGGAGGCCAUGUUGGAGGACACAGGCCUCCACCACAAGCGGAAUGAAGAGGCUCAGGAUCUAUCAGGUGGCAUGCAGAGAAAGCUGUCAGUCACCAUUGCCUUUGUGGGAGAUGCCAAGGUGGUGAUUCUGGACGAACCCACCUCUGGGGUGGACCCUUACUCAAGACGCUCGAUCUGGGACCUGCUCCUGAAGUAUCGCUCAGGCAGAACCAUCAUCAUGUCAACUCACCAUAUGGACGAGGCCGACCUCCUUGGGGAUCGCAUUGCCAUCAUUGCCCAGGGAAGGCUCUACUGCUCAGGCACCCCGCUUUUCCUGAAGAACUGCUUUGGCACGGGCUUGUACUUAACCUUGGUGCGCAAGAUGAAAAACAUCCAGAGCCAAAGGAAAGGCAGUGAGGGGACCUGCAGCUGCGCGUCUAAGAGUUUCUCCACCACUUGUCCAGCCCACGUCGAUGACCUAACUCCAGAACAAGUCCUGGAUGGGGAUGUAAAUGAGCUGAUGGAUGUAGUUCUCCACCAUGUUCCAGAGGCAACGCUGGUGGAGUGCAUUGGUCAAGAACUUAUCUUCCUUCUUCCAAGUAAGAAUUUCAAGCACAGAGCAUAUGCUAGCCUUUUCAGAGAGCUGGAGGAAACGCUGGCUGACCUUGGUCUCAGCAGUUUUGGAAUUUCUGACACUCCCCUGGAAGAGAUUUUUCUGAAGGUCACGGAGGAUUCUGAUUCAGGACCUCUGUUUGCAGGCGGCGCUCAGCAGAAAAGAGAAAACAUCAACCCCCAACACCCCUGCUUGGGUCCCAGAGGGAAGGCCGGACAGACACCCCAGGACUCCAAUGUCUUCUCCCCUGGGGCUCCAGCUGCUCACCCAGAGGGCCAGCCUCCCCCAGAGCCAGAGUGCCCAGGCCCACAGCUCAACACAGGGGCACAGCUGGUCCUCCAGCACGUGCAGGCGCUGCUGGUCAAGCGAUUCCAACACACCAUACGCAGUCACAAGGACUUCCUGGCACAGAUUGUGCUCCCAGCCACUUUUGUGUUUUUGGCUCUGAUGCUGUCUAUCAUUAUCCCUCCUUUUGGCGAAUACCCUGCCUUGACCCUUCACCCCUGGAUGUAUGGGCAGCAGUACACCUUCUUCAGCAUGGAUGAGCCGGGCAGUGAGCAGCUCACGGUACUUGCAGACGUCCUCCUGAAUAAGCCAGGCUUUGGCAACCGCUGUCUGAAGGAAGGGUGGCUUCCGGAGUACCCUUGUGGCAAUUCAACACCCUGGAAGACUCCUUCUGUGUCCCCAAACAUCACCCAGCUGUUCCAGAAGCAGAAAUGGACAGAGGCCAACCCUUCGCCGUCCUGCAGGUGCAGCACCAGGGAGAAGCUCACCAUGCUGCCAGAGUGCCCCGAGGGCGCCGGGGGCCUCCCGCCCCCCCAGAGAACACAGCGCAGCACGGAAAUUCUACAAGACCUGACGGACAGGAACAUCUCCGACUUCUUGGUAAAAACGUAUCCUGCUCUUAUAAGAAGCAGCUUAAAGAGCAAAUUCUGGGUCAAUGAACAGAGGUAUGGAGGAAUUUCCAUCGGAGGAAAGCUCCCAGUCGUCCCCGUCACGGGGGAAGCGCUCGUUGGGUUUUUAAGCGACCUUGGCCGGAUCAUGAAUGUGAGCGGGGGCCCUAUCACUAGAGAGGCCUCUAAAGAAAUACCUGAUUUCCUUCAACAUUUAGAAACUGAAGACAACAUUAAGGUGUGGUUUAAUAACAAAGGCUGGCAUGCCCUGGUCAGCUUUCUCAACGUGGCCCACAACGCCAUCUUACGGGCCAGCCUGCCCAAGGACAGGAGCCCCGAGGAAUACGGAAUCACCGUCAUUAGCCAACCCCUGAACCUGACCAAGGAGCAGCUCUCAGAGAUUACAGUGUUGACCACUUCAGUGGAUGCUGUGGUUGCCAUCUGCGUGAUUUUCUCCAUGUCCUUCGUCCCAGCCAGCUUUGUCCUUUAUUUGAUCCAGGAGCGGGUGAACAAAUCCAAGCACCUCCAGUUUAUCAGUGGAGUGAGCCCCACCACCUACUGGGUGACCAACUUCCUCUGGGACAUUAUGAAUUAUUCCGUGAGUGCUGGGCUGGUGGUGGGCAUCUUCGUCGGGUUUCAGAAGAAAGCCUACACUUCUCCAGAAAACCUUCCUGCCCUUGUGGCACUGCUCCUGUUGUAUGGAUGGGCGGUCAUUCCCAUGAUGUACCCAGCAUCCUUCCUGUUUGAUGUCCCCAGCACAGCCUAUGUGGCUUUAUCUUGUGCUAAUCUGUUCAUCGGCAUCAACAGCAGUGCUAUUACCUUCAUCUUGGAAUUAUUUGAGAAUAACCGGACGCUGCUCAGGUUCAACGCCGUGCUGAGGAAGCUGCUCAUUAUCUUCCCCCACUUCUGCCUGGGCCGGGGCCUCAUUGACCUUGCACUGAGCCAGGCUGUGACAGAUGUCUAUGCCCGGUUUGGUGAGGAGCACUCUGCAAAUCCGUUCCACUGGGACCUGAUUGGGAAGAACCUGUUUGCCAUGGUGGUGGAAGGGGUGGUGUACUUCCUCCUGACUCUCCUGGUCCAGCGCCACUUCUUCCUCUCCCAGUGGAUUGCUGAGCCCACUAAGGGGCCCAUUGUUGAUGAAGAUGAUGAUGUGGCUGAAGAAAGACAAAGAAUUAUUACUGGUGGAAAUAAAACUGACAUCUUAAGGCUACAUGAACUAACCAAGAUUUAUCCAGGCACCUCCAGCCCGGCAGUGGACAGGCUGUGUGUCGGAGUUCGCCCUGGAGAGUGCUUUGGCCUCCUGGGAGUGAAUGGUGCUGGCAAAACAACCACAUUCAAGAUGCUUACUGGGGACACCACAGUGACCUCAGGGGAUGCCACUGUAGCAGGCAAAAGUAUUUUAACCAAUAUUUCUGAAGUCCAUCAAAAUAUGGGCUACUGUCCUCAGUUUGAUGCAAUUGAUGAGCUGCUCACAGGACGAGAACAUCUUUACCUUUAUGCCCGGCUUCGAGGUGUACCAGCAGAGGAAAUCGAAAAGGUUGCAAACUGGAGUAUUAAGAGCCUGGGCCUGACUGUCUACGCCGACUGCCUGGCUGGCACAUACAGUGGGGGCAACAAGCGGAAACUCUCCACAGCCAUCGCGCUCAUUGGCUGCCCGCCCCUGGUGCUGCUGGACGAGCCCACCACAGGGAUGGACCCCCAGGCACGCCGCAUGCUGUGGAAUGUCAUCGUGAGCAUCAUCAGAGAAGGGAGGGCUGUGGUCCUCACAUCCCACAGCAUGGAAGAAUGUGAGGCGCUGUGUACCCGGCUGGCCAUCAUGGUAAAGGGCGCCUUUCGAUGUAUGGGCACCAUUCAGCAUCUCAAGUCCAAGUAAGCAGAUGGCGGGGCGUGCGCCUUGUUGCCUCUGUGGAUCCAACCAGAUCCUAUGUUCUCCAUUGACACUUGGAAGAGUCCUGCUGCCCUGUCAUCCCCUGGGGCAGAGGCAGGUGGUGGCUGGGCCUCAUUCUCCAGCAGCAGAUGGAGAAGUCCAUUAUGCUGAUAAGAAACUCCUCUAUAUUGGCCUAAUUUCCUGUGGUCGAAGACUCACCCAAUUCUCUGGAUGGGGUGUCUGAUCAGGACACAUGCAGAGCCUGGCUGGGACGAGGGAGGGCCACUACCACUGCUUCAGUAUUCCACCACUUAUCCCAACAGAUCCAGGACCUGUGGCUUAUUUACUAAGAGUCCACUCCAAUGUAGGAAUGGUUAGGAGACCAACUGGCCUGAGGACCUGUUUUUGUUUUUGUUUUUAGAAUAUUGUAUGCUUUUGAGUUUGAAAAAAGACCAUAUGUUAUACGACAAACCAACAACGCCAGUAAUCUUGAGUAGAAUUAUCCUUACUCCGUACCCACACAUUGUAAACUAUUGUAGAUAAUUCCUUAUUAUUAAGAGUUUGCAUGCCAAAGCUAACAGUUUAAGAUUAUCAGCAUAUUGCCAUGCUCAUUCACAUUCUGAUAAGCUUUAUAACCUAGAAAAGAGCAGAGUUACAAUUAUUUAACAAACACUUAUUAAGAGCUCAGCAUAUAAGUCACUAAGCUGGUUGGUGGAGGAACAGCACAUAACCCACCUUAUCUAUGCUGAGAUGCACCCACGGGAGGGUGUUGCACAGAAAAUGUCAUCCUUUCAUAUGUGUCAGAGCAGAUAAAUGACUGAGAGAAAGGUCUAAUAGAUUAGCUGCUUGUGGCAAGUGGACAUUUGACCCAUGAUUUAUUGAGCAACUACAGCUUGGACACUGCAUAGAUAUCUAUAGAAAUAGCAGCAUGUCAGGUCACCAGACCUGUGUCAGCAACUUCCUGUGUCCAGCUGCUGGAGAAAGGGAAGUUCUCCUAUUCCUUUCCCUCUAACUCCUCAAUAUCUGCAUGAUAGAGGAGGUGAGAGAGGAGUGUUGCCUGUGUGGAGGGAUGGCGAGUUUUCUGGAGCUGAAAGAUUUGGAGAUGGCUAUAUCGUCACAAUGAAGAUCAGAUCCCCGAAGGACGACCUGCUUCCUGACCUGAAC
RNA transcript from Cercocebus atys (sooty mangabey), 10207 nucleotides. It is a transcript of the gene named ATP-binding cassette, sub-family A (ABC1), member 4, with no coding region annotated. Lineage: Eukaryota; Metazoa; Chordata; Mammalia; Primates; Cercopithecidae. The transcript has 48 exons. The record is from RefSeq and is a predicted model, not a curated record.